RNAcentral lists this ribosomal RNA (492 nucleotides) under uncultured bacterium. RNAcentral's name for it is "partial 16S ribosomal RNA". It matches the Rfam family "Bacterial small subunit ribosomal RNA", at positions 29 to 507 of the family's 1533-position model. The record is from RNAcentral.
AGUGAACGCUGGCGGUAGGCCUAACACAUGCAAGUCGAACGGCAGCACAGUAAGAGCUUGCUCUUACGGGUGGCGAGUGGCGGACGGGUGAGGAAUACAUCGGAAUCUACUUUUUCGUGGGGGAUAACGUAGGGAAACUUACGCUAAUACCGCAUACGACCUACGGGUGAAAGCAGGGGAUCUUCGGACCUUGCGCGAUUGAAUGAGCCGAUGUCGGAUUAGCGAGUUGGCGGGGUAAAGGCCCACCAAGGCGACGAUCCGUAGCUGGUCUGAGAGGAUGAUCAGCCACACUGGAACUGAGACACGGUCCAGACUCCUACGGGAGGCAGCAGUGGGGAAUAUUGGACAAUGGGCGCAAGCCUGAUCCAGCCAUACCGCGUGGGUGAAGAAGGCCUUCGGGUUGUAAAGCCCUUUUGUUGGGAAAGAAAAGCAGCAGGUUAAUACCCCGCUGUUCUGACGGUACCCAAAUAAUAAGCACCGGCUAACUUCGUG